Molecule: long non-coding RNA, 241 nt
Filed under: Elaeis guineensis (African oil palm)
Lineage: Eukaryota; Viridiplantae; Streptophyta; Magnoliopsida; Arecales; Arecaceae
Description: long non-coding RNA (EGUI_LNC031174)
Source: RNAcentral
AGGAGUAUGGGAGGGCCUCGAGUUAUCUUGAGAGCUAGUCAUAUUCUCCUUGAGGGAGAUUUAUCUAUGAAGAUUGGUUGGAUUUUGAGGUGAACUCUUUGGAUAGACAAUCACCAUUUAUUGAUCAAUAUACGGAUAUUGGCCGAUCAGUGUGUCUCCUUCAGUGCUAAGCAUAUGUAUUGUGAAGCAAAUAUCUCUAUGGACUGGAUAGCCUUCUUUGUUAUGGAUCACUCUAGUGGUA